Molecule: ribosomal RNA, 331 nt
Filed under: uncultured bacterium
Lineage: Bacteria
Description: bacterial SSU rRNA
Rfam family: Bacterial small subunit ribosomal RNA
Source: RNAcentral
CGCGUAGGCGGUUCGUACAGUUGGAUGUGAAAUUCCUGGGCUCAACCUGGGGGCUGCAUUCAAUACGUGCGGGCUUGAGUUCGGAAGAGGGUCGUGGAAUUCCCAGUGUAGAGGUGAAAUUCGUAGAUAUUGGGAAGAACACCGGUGGCGAAGGCGGCGACCUGGUCCGAUACUGACGCUGGGGCGCGAAAGCGUGGGGAGCAAACAGGAUUAGAUACCCUGGUAGUCCACGCUGUAAACGAUGUGUGCUGGAUGUUGGGUGACCUAGUCACUCAGUGUCGUAGCUAACGCGAUAAGCACACCGCCUGGGGAGUACGGCCGCAAGGUUGAA